RNAcentral lists this ribosomal RNA (496 nucleotides) under uncultured bacterium. Its description in RNAcentral is "partial 16S ribosomal RNA". It matches the Rfam family "Bacterial small subunit ribosomal RNA", at positions 28 to 506 of the family's 1533-position model. The record is from RNAcentral.
GAUGAACGCUGGCGGCGUGCCUAAUAUAUGCAAGUCGAGCGAACAGACGAGGAGCUUGCUCCUCUGACGUUAGCGGCGGACGGGUGAGUAACACGUGGAUAACCUACCUAUAAGACUGGGAUAACUUCGGGAAACCGGAGCUAAUACCGGAUAAUAUAUUGAACCGCAUGGUUCAAUAGUGAAAGACGGUUUUGCUGUCACUUAUAGAUGGAUCCGCGCCGCAUUAGCUAGUUGGUAAGGUAACGGCUUACCAAGGCAACGAUGCGUAGCCGACCUGAGAGGGUGAUCGGCCACACUGGAACUGAGACACGGUCCAGACUCCUACGGGAGGCAGCAGUAGGGAAUCUUCCGCAAUGGGCGAAAGCCUGACGGAGCAACGCCGCGUGAGUGAUGAAGGUCUUCGGAUCGUAAAACUCUGUUAUUAGGGAAGAACAAAUGUGUAAGUAACUAUGCACGUCUGGACGGUACCUAAUCAGAAAGCCACGGCUAACUACGU